UAUUAUAAUAACCAUUUUAUUAUUGCCUCUUGGGCAUAUCUCCAACAAGGCUUACUAGGGACUCCUUGUUGUUUACAUAACACACAUGUAUCAAUGUUUCGGUUAAUACAAUUAUGGCAUGGGAUGUAAACAUUUAUCAUGAACACUAAGAUAUAACAAUAACUAAUUUAUUAUUGCCUCUUGGGCAUAUCUCCAACAGUCUCCCACUUGCACUAGAGUCAAUAAUCUAGUUUACAUUUGAAAAGAUAUAACACCUUGGCCUUCUGGUGCUUAUCAUGUUUUGCUCACGGGAGAGGUUUUAGUCAACGGAUCUGACACGCUCAGAAACGUAUGUAUUUUGCAAUUCAUUUGCGUCUCAACGUAUCACUCAUUUUCCAAAUGAGUCGGCAUUAAUUUUAUAUGCUUAGUCCUAUGGUGGAACCUUAAUUCCGCGGUCUGAAAAUAAGUCACUAAUAUUGUCAUACACAAUAUAGCUUCAAAGUUCAGACACUAUCGGAACUACACCAAGUUCUCAAAGAACUCCUUAACUUAACAUCCUCAGUCAUUGUCAAAACAAUGACAUACUCUGCCUUCGUUUGUAGAAUCCGUCACAAUAUUUAGAACUGAUCUAAAUCUAGCAUAGACUUCUUCUAGCUCAUUGUGCUACCUUUUAAACAACACUUAGCCUAAUUGAGAUUUGAAAUUCAUUUUUAUAUGUGACCAAACUAAUAUCGGUGCAACACCUUACAGCGAUUUGUUUGACAUUACCCCAUACAAAAACUAUAUAUAUAUAUAUCCUUGGUUCUUCUAAAGCACUCAGGGAUAUUCUUACUGUUGUCCAAUGAUCAUUACAUGAAUCAUUCUGGUAUAUGCUCGUAACACUUUAGAGCACAGGACAUCUGACUUUGUACAUAUUAUUCGUGAUCUAAAAUCACUCAUGUGCUUUUACUCAUCGAGUGUCAAAUACACUCAAGUCUUGUUAAACCUUCACAUGGAAAGGAACACCUUCUUAAUAUUUUUAUAUUGAACUACUUCAAUAUUCAUUCUAUGUACUUUGACUUAAACUUAUUAUGUGUUUCAAUCUAUCUUCAUAGAUCUUAACACUAAAUAUGUUUCAGUCCAUAUCCUUUCAUUGAAGUUAAUUCUCAAUGAAACCUUUUAAUCAAGUAUAUAAUUACAUCAUUUAUAACCAACUAUAUGUCAUCUACAUAAAGUAUUAUAAACAUGUCUCAGCGCUCCCUCUUAAUUUCUUGCAAAUGCAAGCAUCUUCAUCGUUUCUGAUGAAAUCAAAACUCUUUGAUUAUUUCAUCCGGUGAAGAUUCCAACUCCGCGAUACUCACUUCAUCCAAUUGAAGUUUGUAUACCUAUCUAGUAUUCCACGGACCAGAAAAACUCUUGGUUGUAUCUGGUAUACAUCCUUCAUACAUACUUCUGGUAAGGAAUGUAUUUCUGCCAUCCUACUAUCAUACCUCAUAAAAGAAAUAUGUAGCGAUUCCUAGAAUAAUCCACAUAGACUAUAAGCAUUGCCACGGAAGAUCUAAUCUUAUCGUAGUCAACUCUUUGAACUUUGUCGUAAACAACUUUUCGAUAAGUCAAGCUUCUUUAAGGAUAUUCCAUCCAAGUCCAUCUAUUUUAUAGAUCCAUUUCAUUUCAAAAAGUAUUUACCUAUCUUGGAUUUCAUGGCGCACAGCCAUUUUAACGGAGUCAGGGCCCAUCAUAACUUCUUUGUAUGUAGUUGGUUUAUCAUUGUUCAAAAACAAUCCUUUGUCCACAAAUCAUUUAUUUGAUCACAAAAUAAACCACAUCUACAAGGUUCAAUAAGUACUUUGAUCUCCAUGACUAUAACACUUUGUAGACAUGGGAGCCAUGAUCUUCGUAGCUGCUUCCGGAACCAUUUUCGAUGUUGUGCUACUCUGAUCAUCAUGCUCAGGUUCAUAAGUACUAUAUUAAAGUGUAACAAACUUCUUUUUUGUAAGAAUUUUGAACCUUGCUGGGAAUUAACCUUGCGUGUGCUUCCGGUUCUUUGAUUUCCGUUGCCUUUUUUUCGUGUACCAUUUGAUGUUGUCUAGCAGUUUAGGGUAACAGGCUACUACUUCACUGGUUGGUUGCUGUGGUAUGUAGCUGGUGUGGCCAUAGGUACAAAGUAGACUGGGCUGUGUGGGCCCGAUAGCACCGCUUUGACGAUGAGUUUUGUCUCCCACGUGGUCAGUAUCUCCAGAAAUUCCCCUUCGCCUCUCUCUCAGUUCAUAUCUCUCCCAUAGAUGCGAGCAAAGUGUGCAGCCGGAGAUAAGGGUUGCAGCGGAAAAAGCGGGAGGCAACGACGGCGGGGAAACCCUUGCGGCGCGGCGCACGAGCGCGCAAGAUCAUCGUCCGUCCACCUCCACCGUUCUGCCCCAUGCCCGAGCCUCCCGCCCUGAUUUCCCCUGAUGUGGAGGUUGACUACCGGCGGGGAACGCCGACAGCCCUCGCCGACGUUUUCGAUGCUGCUGUCGUGGUUCUUGCGGCAAGUGUCCGGCGAUGUCCUGGGCCGGUGCGAGGAAGAGGCCGGACAUGCCGUUGUCAUGGCACAACGCGACGCCAAGCCGUGCCAGCCACGUCGUGGCCCCGAGCGGCCGCUGAAGCCGGCGGAGGAUCCGACGGUGCCCACCGGCAGGGACCACCUCGGGUAUGGAAAAUUAUGCUGUCGGCCACUAGCGAAAGCCCGUAGCAAUUCCAGCUCAAAGCGCAGGGAGCGGAGCAGCGCACCGACGAAGGGGAUCCUGGUGGCUGCUGUCCACAGGCCCGUGGUGAUGAGCAGCUGAUCUACUGUUACAUGUCGUGGGGAUCCCGUCAAUUGGCGGUUCCUGGUAACAGAGGGUUGUAGUCGUCUCUUCUUGGUCGCCGACGCCCAACCACACCGGUGGUUAUUGGCUUGGGAUAUUGCAUCCGGUUUCUCCACUUCUGAAGUUCUUGUGCAAAAUUUAUGGGUUUUGUCAGUCAUGCUGGUUGCUUGUGUCGCGGUAAGUGCCUGCUUUGCAUCAUCAUACUGCUGGUAUGUUCAGUUUUAAUCUUUGAUGUUUUUGAUUCUAUGGACCAACAGUGUUGGUACUGGCAUAUACUAGCAUCUGUUGUUAUCUAAUGUCUAUUCUCCAUUGGUAAUCUCGUGCUCCUGCUCUUUACCUCUAGCCCAGAGCUCUAUGGUUCAGAUGGCGCUGUACUUUGGCCUGUAUGGCCCGGUCAGGGAUUCUGUUGUUGGCCAUCCAUCGUCUCUACCUGUUAAUCCCGGUUUGUGAGUCUUUUUUUUUUCACCUGCUAACCCAGUCUGCCGAGUGCCGAGGCAUCGAAUUCUUCUUGGCAAACGGCCGCUUGAGUGUUUAGAUGGUAACACUUUUCACCUUUUUCAGGUCAUUACAUCGUUGAUGUUUUUGUUUCCUGGCGAUCUGGAAUAUGUUGCUUGCAUUUGGAUUUAGAAACAUGCUAAUACCGUGGUUCACGUUUCAUGCUCCAAAAUAUUUCCACUAGAUUGCACAAGAUGGGACUGUAUAUAAGAACUGUGCACAACAAUUGCACUAUGAAAUUAUAAAAUGUACUUGAUUGCACAAGAUGGGCCUUAUAUGAGAACCGUGGACUCACUCAAAGUUGUUUGGCUAUUGGCAGUCAGGUUUGCACAAAUAUGAUAAGAUUUUACUGAGCUUGUGAUUAUUUAGAUAUAUUAUAUAUCUACCAUUAAAGCUAUUGAUUCUUCUACAUUAGGUAGUUCAUCUUGCAACAAAUAGAGCUAGAUUCUUUUGCUAUUUUCAACAAUCACAACAGGGUAUAAUCUCUUUGAUUUUGUAUCACACUGACAUAGAGUCUCAUCUUUGGUUUGCACAUGAUAAUCCUUCUUGUUUAAUAUUACACCGGGAUAGAAUUUGGUCUUUGAGAAUAACUAGCCCCCUCAAAUGGUAUUGAGAAAGGACCUUUUUUGUUCCCAACAUGUAGCCACACUACGGCUGCAGCGGGCACGUCGUGCAAAACAUAAGCAUGUUGGUAAAGAUGUUUUUUUGGUUGAUUCUUUCCAGUAUUGUUGUUUACUCUUCUCUAGGUUGAAUCUGUCACAAAUGCUGGUGAGAUGGAAGUCAUCAUUGCUGCUGGUUACUGCUGGUUGUUCUAUUAGUAUGUCUUUUUCCUCCAAUUUUGAUUGAUUGCGUUUGUUUAAUUUUUGGGUGUGCUUUUAUCCUUUACUUCUACUCCAUUACUUGGGAUUAAUUUGGUUAUUAUGCUUAUCUCAUACACAAUUAUUCAUCUAGAUGCAGGUUGUUGUGCUUUGUGUUGUUCCUACAAUUUUCUACACCUAUGGUACCCCAUCAACGUGUCAAAUUCACGAUCCUAUAAAGCGGAAUGAUCUGGUCUAAUAAACAUGAAUAAGGCAAUGACAUGUCCCAGUACGCGUUGGUAUGGCAAAUGUAUUAACCGGGUUCUUUACCACUUGACCCUUUUCAGUGUAGCAAUAAAUAAUUUUUUUGUACAAUACUUAGUAACCAUAUAACUCAUGUUUGUUCAUUGGUCAUUUGGUAAGUGUAUCAUCUAUAUAUAUUUAUUUUAUUUCAUGUUAUUUGCAAAUAAGAGCUGAAGUGUUUUUUUUUUCUAAAAGUUUGGUAUGCAACGCCAACACUCUUAUAUUCCUGUCUAACACACUUAGGUUUUUAUGUACUUUGUUAUUUACUUAGUUUUUGAAUGUAGCCAAAUUUUCGUAUGUGAUAACUCUCUUAUAUCCAUUUGUCUUAUAACUCAUGUUUGUUCAUUGGUCAUUUGGUAAGUGUAUCAUCUAUAUAUAUUUAUUUUAUUUCAUGUUAUUUGCAAAUAAGAGCUGAAGUGUUUUUUUUUCUAAAAGUUUGGUAUGCAACGCCAACACUCUUAUAUUCCUGUCUAACACACUUAGGUUUUUAUGUACUUUGUUAUUUACUUAGUUUUUGAAUGUAGCCAAAUUUUCGUAUGUGAUAACUCUCUUAUAUCCAUUUGUCUUCAAGCGUUGUAUGUAUUCCCAGUGGCUAUGCAUUACAUUUUCUCUUGGGAUAACAUUUAAUCACUAUAAGUCUAUAAUGACUCGACAAAAUUCUUCGAUGUGAACGGACAUAUUUAUUUUUAUGUCUAGCUGAACACCGCCCCGGACCCCUGUAAUUUUGUGUGUGUGUAGUUUCUCAGAAUAUGUGUCAGAAAAUUAUCGAUUCAUAUCUUGAAAUUGAGCUCAGGCUAAGUUGGUACAUUUGCAGUAGUUAAUUAUUUGCAGUCACAUUGUGAUGAAAUAUUUAACUAGAAGUGCGACCAACCUUAGAUAUUGUAUGCACCUGGGUGCAAUUUUCGAUGUUUAAAUUGGCUAAUUGGGCAAGAGCCCUUUUUACUCUUGCAGAAUAUUCUAAACCAAUGAAUUUGAUAAUUUAAGAGAACCUGAUGUAUACGAUUUUUAAAACUGUUAUUCACCAUUGUUUUAUGUUUAAAAAUAUUGGUAUAUGGCCCAUGAGGAAACCUACUGAACAGUGCUAUCAGUUAUUGAAUUUUUCGUGAUGUGCUUGCACUCUUUCUUGGGUGACAACGGAGAUUUAUCUUCUGAAACUCAAACACCGUUAUGGUUACUAAUGAGGUAGACACUUUCAUGAAUCCUGUUGUGAUUGGCAAUGCUACUGGUGUGUAUACUUAUAGCAGCAAAUUGAUUCGGCACAAGGAAGAAAAUUUAUCGAGCUAUAGGGAGAUCUCAGUAGUCCAACAUCAGACCAUGCCAGCUUGCUAACUAUAGUUUUGGAUUACUUUCUUUGGAAAUCAUGGGUAUUAAAGUUUUAGCAUUUCUUCGUUAUUACAUUAUGCUGAUGGUCCUGCAUUACUGGACAUUUCUGGGUUGGCGCUUUCUUCUAAUUUCGGUGCUUCUAUUUCAUCUGGGUGCCUAUGCUUCGUGCCUACUGAUCUUGAGGAAAAAUACUUAGUUCCUCAUGUCUGUGCUACUGCACUUUGUUGCCAAACGUCUUCUAAGUUUAGGAAUAAGACAUGUGCAUGCAGUUCAAGUUUCUAAAGAUUUAAUAUAGUAUGGUAUAACAAUAGGACAUGUGCAAUUGUGCACAAAGUGAUAGCUCAUCUUUUUUAGAGUUAAGAUUUUCAAUAUAAAUUCCUGAGUUGUUGUGGUGAGUCUAAAGUUGAUUCCUACUGCUUGCGUUGCCGCUCCACUCUUUCUUCUUUGUGCACGCAUAGUUCUGAGAGAGGUGAUAGGUAAUCAAGACGACAGACAAAGAAAUUAAUAGUUGCAUGUUUUUUCAUCAAUCAUUUUGUGGGAAGUGCACUUUCUCAGAGGAAACAUUUCCAUGUGACCUGGAUUAAUAGCUAGCUUAGCUGAAAUAAUCUGAGUGGACCGCAGGGAUGAACAAGAAGAUAUAUGGAGGGCACCAGUGCUAGGCCUGGAGCCAUGGUGACCGUCAACGCUUAACAGUGCCAAGAUGUAGAAUGUCUGGUCCUCUACAGGACAAAGCAGCACACAUUGUUGUGGACGCCACAUGCAUAUGUUGGCCUUAGACGUCAGCUGCCCAAAUUCAAGAGAUAUAUGGUGCUGCUAUUUAGCAGGCAACUUAUUUACUUUAUCAUUUCUACCUGCUUCUCAAUUGUACUUGGUCAUGUAGACCAUGAUAUCAGUACAUGGCUUCCACAGUAUCACUUCACUACAAUCUCUUAAUAUGUAAUAUGUGUCUUUUAUCAUUUUUUACUCUAUUCUUAACUGUACUCAGGGCCUGUGCAUCAGAUCAAUUGGCCUGCGCAAAUCUUGAACUUAUAUUUAAUAUUCAAGUCAAGUACA
This is a long non-coding RNA of Lolium perenne, 6772 nucleotides long. RefSeq lists it as uncharacterized. NCBI's taxonomy places the organism in Eukaryota, Viridiplantae, Streptophyta, Magnoliopsida, Poales, Poaceae. The record is from RefSeq and is a predicted model, not a curated record.